AGACUGUUGAAAAGGUAUAGUAAGGGUGUAAGAAGAUGAAGAAAGAUAUACAAAUCAUGUACAAAGUGUGUAUAAAGUGAGUACAAAGGGUUUACAAAUGGUAUAUAAAGGGUUUGUAAAGGGUGUACCAAGGGUGUAUAAAGGGUGUGUAAAAAGUGUAUAAAGGGUGUACAAAGGGUGUAGACCCACUCUACAUCUUUUUUAAAAAUAUAUAGAAAGGCUGCAGAAGGGUGCAGAAAUGAUAUAUAAAGGGGUUAGAAAGGAUGUAGAAAGGGUGUAGAAAGACUCUUGAAAAGGUUUAGUAAGGGUGUUAGAAUAUGAAGAAAGAUGUAGAAAUCGUGUACAAAGUGUGUAUAAAGUGAGUACAAAGGGUUUACAAAUGUUGUAUAAAGGGUGUAUAAAGGGUAUACAAAGGGUGUAUAAAGGGUGUACUAAGGGUGUAGAAUCAUUCUUCCUCUUUUUAAAAAAUAUGUAGAAAGGCUGUAGAAGGGUUCCCAAAUGCUAUAUAAAGGGGUUAGAAAGGAUAUAGAAAAAGUGUAGAAAGACUGUUGAAAAGGUUUAAUAAGGAUGUAAGAAGAUGAAGAAAGAUGUAGAAAUCGUGUAAAAAGUGUGCAUAAAGUGAGUAUAAAUGGUUUACAAAUGUUGUAUAAAGGGUGUGUAAAGGGUGUACGAAGGGUGUAUAAAGGGUGUACAAAGGGUGUUGACCAGUUCAAUCUCUUUUUAAAAAUAAGUAGAAACGCUGCAGAAUGGCGCACAAAUGGUAUAUAAAGGGGUUAGAAACGAUAUAGAAAAAGUGUAGAAAGACUCUUCAAAAGGUUUAGUAAGGGUGUAAGAAGAUGAAGAAAGAUGUAGAAAUCGUGUACAGAGUGAGUACAAUGGGUUUAAAAAUUUUGUAUAAAGAUUGUAUAAAGGGAGUAUAAAGGGUGUACAAAGUGUGGAUAAAGAGUGUACAAAGAGUGUACACCCAUUCUACCUCUUUUUAAAAAAAUGUAGAAAGGCUGCAGAAGGGUGCACAAAUGGUAUAUCAAGGGGUUAGAAAGGAUGUAGAAAGGGUGUAGAAAGACUCUUGAAAAGGUUUAGUAAGGGUCUAAGAAGAUGAAGAAAGAUGUAGAAAUCGUGUACAAUGUGUGUAUAAAAAGACUGCAAAAGAUUUACAAAGCUUGUAUAAAAGGGUGUAUAAAAUGAGUACAAAGGGUUUACAAAUGUUGUAUAAAGGGUGUAUAAAGGGUGUAGAAAAGGUGUAUAAAGGGUGUACAAAGGGUGUAGACCCAUUCUAUCUCUUUUUAAAAAAGAUGUAGAAAGGCUGCAGAAGGGUGCACAAAUGGUAUAUAAAGGGGUUAGGAAGAAUGUAGAAAAGGUGUAGAAAGGUUGUUGAAAAGGUUUAGU
RNAcentral lists this long non-coding RNA (1386 nucleotides) under Vigna radiata. RNAcentral describes it as "long non-coding RNA (VRAD_LNC013047)". The record is from RNAcentral. Lineage: Eukaryota; Viridiplantae; Streptophyta; Magnoliopsida; Fabales; Fabaceae.